Molecule: long non-coding RNA, 1334 nt
Organism: Numida meleagris (helmeted guineafowl)
Lineage: Eukaryota; Metazoa; Chordata; Aves; Galliformes; Numididae
Exons: 2
Source: RefSeq, a predicted model, not a curated record
UGCAUGCUGUCUGUUUCACUGAAUCACAGCAGGUCGUUCCACGCUUGCUUUAACUUCUCCUACAUGAAACGGAUUUUAUUUAAAUUACAAUCUAUCAUUAAAAGAAUUCCACCGAGCGGCAGGGUCAGACGAGGACACAGGGAGCUGGGCUGCCUCGUAGCUGCCGUGUCCUUCCCCAGCGUCUGACUAUAGCCGCUUUUGCCAUCAGGAAAUUGAUUGGCUUCAAUGUUAACAUAACUAUCUCAUUUCUUUUCCCCUUUCAAGGAAAAAAAAAUCAUGAAACUGAUUUGCUUGCAAUGAAAAAUCUGAAAAAUUCAGCUCUGAGUGUCCUGGUACAUGCAGGUUUCUCAAGGCCUGUAUCCUCAUUUAUCUAAACCAUUGUACCCUUAAAUAGGAGCACAGAGAUUCCGGCCUGCACUCUAAGGAGCAGAUGAGGGAACUGGGAUUGUUCUGUCUGGAGGAGGCUCAGGGGAGACCUUAUCACUCUAAAAUUACCUGAAGGGAGGUUGUACUAAAGUGAGGGUCAGCAUCUCUUCCCAGGUAAUAGCAAUAGGACAAGAGAUUAUGGCUUUAAGUUGUGCCAGGGGAACUUCUAGUUGGAUAUUAGGAAAAAAUUAUUCUCAGAAAGAGUGGUGAUGCAUUUGAAACAAGCUGCAAAGGGAGGUAGUGGAGUCACUGUCCCUGGAGAUGUUCAAGAAACAUGUAGAUCUGGCACUGAAGAACAUGGUUAGUGGACGUGGUGGUGAUGAGUUGACGGCUGGAUUCAAUGAUGUUAAAGGUCUUUUCCAACCUCAAUGAUUCUAUGAUUUAGUGGAGCACUGCCCUCAGGCGGAGCAGGGCCAACGCGUCCUUCAGAACCCACCAUGUGCUCGGAGCUGGGAGCUAUUGGCUUUGCAGAGUUCAUGGGUGAUGUCCAGGCAUAACUGGACUUUGUCAUUGACUUAAGCAGAUAACUUUAUCCAGGUUUCUUCUUAAAAGGGUGGCCUUGUAUGGAACACCAAGCGGGCUGUCCUUUACUGCUUUGAAAAAGGUCAUGUCGCUGUGAAGUUUCAAGCCACUGCUGAGGGGCCCAAUCCCUUCCUCCACCACUGAAGGUCAAGUUCAGCCUGUGCUUUAGGUACAAGAAAACAACUGGGGGCAGAGGGCCGUGGCAGGAUCCCGUUAUAUCCCAGCACACAGCUACAGUGCAUCAUCUCUCAGGCUGUGUCUGAAAGGCAGAAAUCGAUUCCUCGCAUGCAGACACAUGCAACACUCAACUGUUUGCACUGCUCAUUUUAGAAGUACAUCAGCAUGAGAUGAGAAAGCACCCUAUUAAUAUACGUCACUACACCUAC